RNAcentral lists this transfer RNA (84 nucleotides) under Flavobacteriaceae bacterium. RNAcentral's name for it is "tRNA-Phe". It matches the Rfam family "tRNA". Rfam says of the family: Transfer RNA (tRNA) molecules are approximately 80 nucleotides in length. Their secondary structure includes four short double-helical elements and three loops (D, anti-codon, and T loops). Lineage: Bacteria; Pseudomonadati; Bacteroidota; Flavobacteriia; Flavobacteriales; Flavobacteriaceae. The record is from RNAcentral.
AUGGCAGAGUGGUCGAAUGCAUACGAUUGAAACUCGUAAAAUCAUUAAUUUGAUUCGAGGGUUCGAAUCCCUUUCUCCCCGCAA